Molecule: long non-coding RNA, 722 nt
Filed under: Gallus gallus (chicken)
Lineage: Eukaryota; Metazoa; Chordata; Aves; Galliformes; Phasianidae
Source: RNAcentral
CAGAGAAGUAGCUUUUAUAAACGGGAACUCUUCCAUAUGGAAGAAGUUCCAUUUUUGUUUCUUUUUUUCUUUCAUUCGUUGCCUUGUUUUAGCUCUUAGGAAUAGAUCAACUUAUAAAAUUUGCAAAUAGAAAGAGGGGACCUCUUGGCCUUGUCGCUCUUGGCCAAGCGGAAGGAGCCGGAGGCCCCGACCCCUUUGGUCUGCUUGAGGACGCCGGCAGCCAGGAGACGUCGGAUGGAGAGCUUGAUCUGCAGAUCGGCGUUGUGGCCCACCUUGUAGUGGCUCUUGAUGUACUUCUGGAUGGACUGCCGCGAGGAGCCGCCGCGGCUCUUUUCCGCACGGAUGGCCGCCGCGAUCAUCUCCGAGUAGGUGGGGUGCGAUGCCGAGCGCCGCGAUGCCUUCACCCGCUUGGGCUUGGCUGGGGCUGGGGAUAGGACCAGGCUCUCCGUCAUGGCCGCCGCUUCACCCCACGGCAGGGCACUGGGUUAGGGAGCUUAAAAAAGGAGCCGCCAGCAACAACGGAUGUGGGGCUGCUCCUGCUGCUGCCGCCGCCGCCGCCGCUGCGUCUGCGGCCGCGCGUGCCACCAGCACGCAUUUAAGGGUGCGGCACGGACCGCGGGGAGGACUGCCUGUCCCCGUGUCCCCCCUCUGCCCCGCCCCGCAGGGACAUGCCUGGGGCAGGCAGGGAGGGACGAGGUUGGGACCAGAAGGGAUGUGAUGGG